CCAAAAACAUAGCCCUCAAAACAAUUGAAGGUGAAACCUGCCCAAUGAUUUAAUACACUAAAUUUAAAAAUUUAAUAAAAAAAAAAUUAAAUGGCUGCAGUAACUAUGACUGUAAAAAUGUAGCAUAAUAAUUCGCCACUUAAUUAGUGGAUAGUAUGAACGGUUUAACGAAAAUUCCACUGUCUUAUAUAAUAAAAAAAAAAUUUAAAUCAUAGUUAAGAUGCUAUGUAAAACUGUAAGACGAAAAGACCCUAUAAAGCUUAACUAUAUUUCUUAAUAAUUUAAUAAAAAAAACUUAAAAAAAUUAUUUAUUAAGAUUUGGUAGUUUCAUUGGGGCGAUGAUCUCUAAAAAUAAACAGAGAUAAACCUAUAUAAUAAUAAAAUUUACUGUAUAAUUAAUAAAUUUAACAGUUACAAAGUAGGGUAUAAUGACCCAUUAAUUUUAUAAAAAGAAUUAAUGAUCAAUAAAUAAAAGCUACUUUAGGGAUAACAGGAUAAUAAUUUCUUAGAGACCCAAUCGAAGAAAAAGUUUAUCACCUCGAUGUUGAAUUAAGAUAACCUAAUGACGCAGCAGUAAUUAAAGGUAGGUC
RNAcentral lists this ribosomal RNA (590 nucleotides) under Lytocarpia phyteuma. RNAcentral's name for it is "partial large subunit ribosomal RNA". It matches the Rfam family "Bacterial large subunit ribosomal RNA", at positions 1807 to 2577 of the family's 2925-position model. The record is from RNAcentral. Lineage: Eukaryota; Metazoa; Cnidaria; Hydrozoa; Leptothecata; Aglaopheniidae.